RNAcentral lists this ribosomal RNA (229 nucleotides) under uncultured bacterium. RNAcentral's name for it is "partial 16S ribosomal RNA". It matches the Rfam family "Bacterial small subunit ribosomal RNA", at positions 91 to 334 of the family's 1533-position model. The record is from RNAcentral.
UAAAGUGGCGUACGGGUGAGUAACACGUGGAUCAUCUACCUCUUAGUGGGGAAUAACUUUGGGAAACCGAAGCUAAUACCGCAUAAGCCUGGAAAGGGAAAGCAGCAAUGCGCUGAGAGAGGAGUCCGCGGCCGAUUAGCUAGUUGGCAGGGUAAAAGCCUACCAAGGCAUUGAUCGGUAGCCGGCCUGAGAGGGCACACGGCCACACUGGCACUGAAACACGGGCCAG